CUACGGGGGGCUCCAGUGGGGAAUAUUGCACAAUGGGCGCAAGCCUGAUGCAGCCAUGCCGCGUGUAUGAAGAAGGCCUUCGGGUUGUAAAGUACUUUCAGCGGGGAGGAAGGGAGUAAAGUUAAUACCUUUGCUCAUUGACGUUACCCGCAGAAGAAGCACCGGCUAACUCCGUGCGCAGCAGCCGCGGUAAUACGGAGGGUGCAAGCGUUAAUCGGAAUUACUGGGCGUAAAGCGCACGCAGGCGGUUUGUUAAGUCAGAUGUGAAAUCCCCGGGCUCAACCUGGGAACUGCAUCUGAUACUGGCAAGCUUGAGUCUCGUAGAGGGGGGUAGAAUUCCAGGUGUAGCGGUGAAAUGCGUAGAGAUCUGGGGGAAUACCGGUGGCGAAGGCGGCCCCCUGAACGAAGACUGACGCUCAGGUGCGAAAGCGUGGGGAGCAAACAGGAUUAGAUACCCGCGUAGUC
Molecule: ribosomal RNA, 465 nt
Filed under: uncultured bacterium
Lineage: Bacteria
Description: partial 16S ribosomal RNA
Rfam family: Bacterial small subunit ribosomal RNA
Source: RNAcentral